GAAAUUCACUAUAACAAGUAGAAUAUGUUAAGGACCAUAAGAGAGGUAAAAGGCACCAGGGCUUGGAGAGCUAUGACUACCUUGAGCUGUGGUGAUCAAGAGAGGCCUUGGCUGGACAUGGGAUUUGUCCAUGAGUGAUAGGGGAAAGGGUGAACCAGGCUUGGGAAGAAAAUCAUGAAAGGGAAAAUUCCAGAUACUCAUAGGUUAGGCAGUGUUGAUGGGGACCACUAGUAAUAGUAGCAACAAGAACAAUACAACUAAUAUGCAUGUAUAACUUUACACUUUACAAAGAACUCCUGUGCACAGAAACACAUAUAAUGUAGUGGUGAAAAGCGCAUGGUCUAGAGUCAGAAAACUUUAGUUCUGAUUCCUAGCUCUGCUGCUUACUAACCUUAUGACCUUGGGCAAGUUAUUGAACUUUGCCAUUUCUUUUCUUUCAUCAUCUGAAAAAAAAAUUGAGUUAGCAAUAAUACUGAUUUCAGAGUUUCGAGGAUCCUGAGCUUAUAUUGGAAAUGGGACUUGACACUUAGUGCCUUUCAAUCAUGCUAGCCAAAUUAUAUAUCUAGAUCUUCACAAUAAAAUUAGAAGGUAGGAACUAUUAUUACCCUCAUGUGAAGACAAAAACUGCUCAGAGGGGUUAAAUUAUUUAUUCAAGGGUACAUAGAAAACUGUAGAGUUGGGACUUAAACUCUAUAGCCCAUUUUUCACUACAUGACACUUUCAUUCAAAUAACUGAAAUUUAAGAACCAUAUAGGUUAAAUUAUAUUCUUAAACUUACUCUGAAUUAUUUGUACUCUCUCUAGUCUUCAUUUUAGGAGUUAAAAAAUGUUAGUGAAACCGUGCACAGUAAGGAUAAAGGUGACUCCAGCGUGCUUGCACUUUGUACUUUUUAAUUAUUCUAUUUUUCACUAAUGUCUCUUCUUCUUUUGUCAUUGACAUUUUAGAUUACUGACAGAACAUUCCAUUAGCUUAAAUGUGUAUUAUCAUUCCAAGUGAUAUUCUUCUAGUCCUUGUGGCUAGAAGUUGGAAGAUGGUUACCUAUUAAAGGUGAAUUUGGCGACAACAAAAUCAUUUGGAAGCAAAUAUAUGGAAUAAAAUAAGUAUAAUUUUUUUUCCUUUGAUUUAAACCUAUUUGGGACUAGUAAGUAAUUAGUUACUUGUCUGGCUCUGAAGGCAGUUCAAAAGUUCAAAGGCAGUUCCAUUGACAGAAUUACAGCAUUGUUGGAAUAAAUAUUGGUUGAAUUUGCUGAAUAAUCAGGUAACCUCCCUAGGUGACUGUUUUGAGGAACAGUGGUCUUUUGAAUAUUUAAGACCUGAUAUGCUUGUUUUAAAAACAUGUAGUCCCACCAGGCCUAGCAUGCCACCAGCAGGGGGUGC
RNAcentral lists this long non-coding RNA (1377 nucleotides) under Pan troglodytes (chimpanzee). Its description in RNAcentral is "long non-coding RNA NONPTRT014030". The record is from RNAcentral. Lineage: Eukaryota; Metazoa; Chordata; Mammalia; Primates; Hominidae.